CAGUAAUGUAUGUUGGCAAUGAUCUGGCUUCAUGGAUUUGCCUGGACAAGCCUGCUAAACAUCUUCAUCGUAAAAUUCUGACAUUAUAAUUUUUCUUACCAGAGAGGCACUAUUUCUGCUUGAUGGUGAAUGGCUGGUAUGGAGGUAAACCUGCUCAGAUACUUGUUGACACCUGCAACUGGGUCUUCCUUGAUGUGGGAGACAUGGCACGGAUGCAUGCAGACCCAAACAAGGGUUUUAAAGAAGAAUUCUCAAGAUCCGUUGUCUUCGAUGUCAAGAAACAAAAAAGCUAUUCUGAACAAUUGCCUUUCUCCAAAUCCUAUAGCAAAAAUCUCACCUAGGAUGAAGCCUGUGGUUAUUUUAGAUGGUUUAUAAAAACUUAUUGCUAAACUGAACAGCAGGGAUUGCUUGAAUUUAGGCUUUUAAAAUAAAAGUUGUUUUAAUGUG
Long non-coding RNA from Mesocricetus auratus (golden hamster), 447 nucleotides. RefSeq lists it as uncharacterized. The record is from RefSeq and is a predicted model, not a curated record. Lineage: Eukaryota; Metazoa; Chordata; Mammalia; Rodentia; Cricetidae. The transcript is spliced from 2 exons.